This 512-nucleotide ribosomal RNA is filed under the name uncultured bacterium. RNAcentral's name for it is "bacterial SSU rRNA". It matches the Rfam family "Bacterial small subunit ribosomal RNA", at positions 33 to 518 of the family's 1533-position model. The record is from RNAcentral.
ACGCUGGCGGCGUGCCUAAUACAUGCAAGUCGAACGGUCUUUCUAUGGAAGCUUGCUUCCACUGAGAAGAUAGUGGCGAACGGGUGAGUAACACGUGGGUAACCUGCCCAUAAGAGGGGGAUAACAUCCGGAAACGGGUGCUAAUACCGCAUAGUUUUCUUGAUCGCAUGAUCGGGAAAGGAAAGACGGCCUUUGUGCUGUCGCUUAUGGAUGGACCCGCGGCGUAUUAGUUAGUUGGUGAGGUAACGGCUCACCAAGACGAUGAUACGUAGCCGACCUGAGAGGGUGAUCGGCCACAUUGGGACUGAGACACGGCCCAAACUCCUACGGGAGGCAGCAGUAGGGAAUCUUCCGCAAUGGACGAAAGUCUGACGGAGCAACGCCGCGUGAGUGAAGAAAGGUUUUCGGAUCGUAAAACUCUGUUGUCAGAGAAGAACAAGUUGGAGGGUAACUGCUCCAGCCUUGACGGUAUCUGACCAGAAAGCCACGGCUAACUACGUGCCAGCCGCUGC